This 446-nucleotide ribosomal RNA is filed under the name uncultured Desulfobulbus sp. RNAcentral's name for it is "bacterial SSU rRNA". It matches the Rfam family "Bacterial small subunit ribosomal RNA", at positions 940 to 1382 of the family's 1533-position model. Lineage: Bacteria; Pseudomonadati; Thermodesulfobacteriota; Desulfobulbia; Desulfobulbales; Desulfobulbaceae. The record is from RNAcentral.
UGUGGUUUAAUUCGAUGCAACGCGAAGAACCUUACCUGGCUUGACAUCCCGGAGACCCUUAGGAAACUAGGGGUGCUUCCAUCUGGAAGAAUCUGGAGACAGGUGCUGCAUGGCUGUCGUCAGCUCGUGUCGUGAGAUGUUGGGUUAAGUCCCGCAACGAGCGCAACCCUUGCCUUUAGUUGCCAGCAGCUCGGCUGGGCACUCUAAAGGGACUGCCGGUGUUAAACCGGAGGAAGGUGGGGAUGACGUCAAGUCCUCAUGGCCUUUAUGACCAGGGCUACACACGUACUACAAUGGCCGAUACAAAGGGCAGCGACACUGCGAGGUGAAGCCAAUCCCGUAAAAUCGGUCUCAGUCCGGAUUGGAGUCUGCAACUCGACUCCAUGAAGUUGGAAUCGCUAGUAAUCGUGGAUCAGCAUGCCACGGUGAAUACGUUCCCGGGCCUU